Molecule: transfer RNA, 75 nt
Filed under: Cyclobacterium sp.
Lineage: Bacteria; Pseudomonadati; Bacteroidota; Cytophagia; Cytophagales; Cyclobacteriaceae
Description: tRNA-Arg
Rfam family: tRNA
About the family: Transfer RNA (tRNA) molecules are approximately 80 nucleotides in length.
Source: RNAcentral
GGCCCCGUAGUUCAACGGAUAGAACAAGCGUUUCCUAAACGCUAGAUCCAAGUUCGAUUCUUGGCGGGGCUACCA